This 425-nucleotide ribosomal RNA is filed under the name Enterococcus faecium. RNAcentral's name for it is "bacterial SSU rRNA". It matches the Rfam family "Bacterial small subunit ribosomal RNA", at positions 1 to 412 of the family's 1533-position model. The record is from RNAcentral. Lineage: Bacteria; Bacillati; Bacillota; Bacilli; Lactobacillales; Enterococcaceae.
UUAUUGGAGAGUUUGAUCCUGGCUCAGGACGAACGCUGGCGGCGUGCCUAAUACAUGCAAGUCGAGCGGACUUGAAGGAGUGCUUGCACUCCUGAUGGUUAGCGGCGGACGGGUGAGUAACACGUAGGUAACCUGCCCAUAAGACUGGGAUAACUACCGGAAACGGUAGCUAAUACCGGAUAGGUUCUACUCUCGCAUGAGAGAAGAAAGAAAGACGGAGCAAUCUGUCACUUAUGGAUGGACCUGCGGCGCAUUAGCUAGUUGGUGAGGUAACGGCUCACCAAGGCGACGAUGCGUAGCCGACCUGAGAGGGUGAUCGGCCACACUGGGACUGAGACACGGCCCAGACUCCUACGGGAGGCAGCAGUAGGGAAUCUUCCGCAAUGGGCGAAAGCCUGACGGAGCAACGCCGCGUGAGUGAUGAA